RNAcentral lists this long non-coding RNA (234 nucleotides) under Bos taurus (domestic cattle). RNAcentral describes it as "long non-coding RNA NONBTAT001508". The record is from RNAcentral. Lineage: Eukaryota; Metazoa; Chordata; Mammalia; Artiodactyla; Bovidae.
GCCCCUCCCACGAGGCUUGCAGCGAGGAAGCCAACACCAGGAGGAUUUACUUAACUAGUCCCGCAUGACCAAACUGUGAACUAGCAGAGCUAUAAUUCAGCCCAAGCCUGCCUCUGCAGUCCAAGGCCAACAUCAUGGUCUGAUACCUGUUUUUUGAAACACCACUCUUAAUUCCCAGAUUCAGUGGCUCCUUUUGAAUUCAUACUAUGCUUAGUCCCUCAGCAGCAUUUCCUG